RNAcentral lists this transfer RNA (65 nucleotides) under Ontholestes tessellatus. RNAcentral describes it as "tRNA-Phe". The record is from RNAcentral. Lineage: Eukaryota; Metazoa; Arthropoda; Insecta; Coleoptera; Staphylinidae.
AUCUAAAUAGCUUAUAAAGAGCAUGAUAUUGAAGAUAUCAAGGAAAUAAUUUUUAUUUUUAGGUA